This 497-nucleotide ribosomal RNA is filed under the name uncultured bacterium. RNAcentral describes it as "partial 16S ribosomal RNA". It matches the Rfam family "Bacterial small subunit ribosomal RNA", at positions 28 to 507 of the family's 1533-position model. The record is from RNAcentral.
GAUGAACGCUGGCGGCGUGCCUAAUACAUGCAAGUCGAGCGAACGGACGAGAAGCUUGCUUUUCUGAUGUUAGCGGCGGACGGGUGAGUAACACGUGGAUAACCUACCUAUAAGACUGGGAUAACUUCGGGAAACCGGAGCUAAUACCGGAUAAUAUUUUGAACCGCAUGGUUCAAAAGUGAAAGACGGUCUUGCUGUCACUUAUAGAUGGAUCCGCGCUGCAUUAGCUAGUUGGUAAGGUAACGGCUUACCAAGGCAACGAUGCAUAGCCGACCUGAGAGGGUAGUCGGCCACACUGGAACUGAGACACGGUCCAGACUCCUACGGGAGGCAGCAGUAGGGAAUCUUCCGCAAUGGGCGAAAGCCUGACGGAGCAACGCCGCGUGAGUGAUGAAGGUCUUCGGAUCGUAAAACUCUGUUAUUAGGGAAGAACAUAUGUGUAAGUAACUGUGCACAUCUUGACGGUACCUAAUCAGAAAGCCACGGCUAACUACGUG